Molecule: ribosomal RNA, 429 nt
Filed under: Acidobacteriota bacterium
Lineage: Bacteria; Pseudomonadati; Acidobacteriota
Description: Acidobacteria bacterium partial 16S ribosomal RNA
Rfam family: Bacterial small subunit ribosomal RNA
Source: RNAcentral
UGGGGAAUUUUGGACAAUGGGGGAAACCCUGAUCCAGCCAUCCCGCGUGUGCGAUGAAGGCCUUCGGGUUGUAAAGCACUUUUGGCAGGAAAGAAACGUCAUGGGUUAAUACCCCGUGAAACUGACGGUACUUGCAGAAUAAGCACCGGCUAACUACGUGCCAGCAGCCGCGGUAAUACGUAGGGUGCAAGCGUUAAUCGGAAUUACUGGGCGUAAAGCGUGCGCAGGCGGUUCGGAAAGAAAGAUGUGAAAUCCCAGAGCUCAACUUAGGAACUGCAUUUUUAACUACCGUGCUAGAGUGUGUCAGAAGGAGGUGGAAUUCCGCGUGUAGCAGUGAAAUGCGUAGAUAUGCGGAGGAACACCGAUGGCGAAGGCAGCCUCCUGGGAUAACACUGACGCUCAUGCACGAAAGCGUGGGGAGCAAACAGG